This 379-nucleotide unclassified non-coding RNA is filed under the name uncultured Solirubrobacterales bacterium. RNAcentral describes it as "contains 16S-23S intergenic spacer region". Lineage: Bacteria; Bacillati; Actinomycetota; Thermoleophilia; Solirubrobacterales. The record is from RNAcentral.
UCUCGGCUUAUCACCGGCAGUCCCCCUAGAGUGCCCAACUAAAUGCUGGCAACAUGCGACAGGGGUUGCGCUCGUUGCGGGACUUAACCCAACAUCUCACGACACGAGCUGACGACAGCCACGCACCACCUGUGAACCUGCCCAAUAAAGGGAAACCGUGUUUCCACGGCGGUCAGGAACAUGUCAAACCCAGGUAAGGUUCUUCGCGUUGCGUCGAAUUAAACCACAUGCUCCGCUGCUUGUGCGGGUCCCCGUCAAUUCCUUUGAGUUUUAGCCUUGCGGCCGUACUCCCCAGGCGGCACACUUAACGCGUUAGCUUCCCAGCACAGAGGGUCGAUACUCCAUACUGGUAGUGUGCAUCGUUUACGGCGUGGACUAC